AAGCGUGGCUGUUCCUGCCCACACUGCAUCCUUGAGGACACCACACCAGGAAGCGUCAGGGCAGGGUGAUCUUCAGUUCUGAGUCACUCAGGCAAAUUACUGAACCUGAGGGGAUGGAGUCAUGGGAACCCCUGAAUGUGUAGUUGGCCAGGAAGAAGUGUGGGUAGCCUGGGCACCCCAUCUGUGACUCCAUCGGAAGUGUGGGACUGAGCCCUUUAAUCUGUGGAACCUGACGCUAGCCCCAGUUGGUGUCAGAGAGCUGGAAAAGUGGUGUCAGAAACCACCACACAGUAUGCGAGGCUGAGGGGAAACGCCAGUGUAAUAACAUGCAACAAGUGUAGGUGGUUUGGGGCCAACAAAGCCCAGGAGGGCUCGGGUUUAGGCUCUGUGGAGCACUGGGGCCGGGCAGGAUGGCUGUAGUGCUGUGGAGAGUUGAGGCUGCCUUAGGGAGGAUUUGGGGGUGAAGAUAGGCCUUGACCUGAGCUGGGUUUGGGGGGAGAAUUAUUAGUGGCCUGAGGGUCUUAGACUGAGGGUCGAGUGUGUCCCUUCCUCCCUGGCUGGGUGAGCAUCUAAGUCACUGCCUCUCAGAGGCUCACGUCCACAACAGUAAAGCAGGGAUGGUCUUGGCCCUCCUGGAGGGCUUCCUGCAAGGGUGUUGGUGAAAUGUGUUUCUAUUUGUGAAGCUGUGCUAGUGCUGUUGCCAUUUUCAUGAGCAGUUACCAAUCAACAAACACCUGUAGCCAGCCCUGCACCGGGCCCACGAUCACCCAGGGAUGAAGUGGUGACCGAAAGCAGGAACAGGCCGGAGCCUUCAGCAGCUAAGAGGUGCAAGGCGGGUGGAGCUGAGGCAGGAACCGAGGUUGGCCCUACACAGCUCCCUGCUCCUCCGCACCACUGCAGCAUGGAUGGGGCAGGCCGAGCAAAGCCACAGCCAGCACAGCCCUCUCUGCUGGUCUCGCCCUCACCUGUGAUACGCGUCAGUGGUUCUGCCUGGGCCUUUCUGCCUCCAGGGCCGGGGGGGCUGCCUGAGUGUGCCCCUCAUCCUCUGCGAUGGUUGACUGCCCUGAGCCAAUGCAGGCAGUGCCGAAGGACCCAGUCCACUCACACAUUCUCAGACAGCUCUGCGCACAGUGACUGGGGCCAGCUCUUGAGUCCUGGCAUCCAACGGCAGGUGGCAGUGCCUUUCCAGUUGCUAGAACAGGCCCUUCCCAACAAAAUCACAGGCCUUCAGCAGCAGAGGCGCCCUCUGCCUGCUAUGAUGAUGGUCACGUCACAGCGUGGACAAUGUGUUGCGCAUCAAAUACCAGAUCUCAAAAGGGGAAGGGGGGUGGGUCACAGAAUGGAGGAAAGACUUACAGAAUGAACAUCCCAGGACCGUCUUAGUAACCUCUGACCAGCACAGAGUGGGUUCUAAUAAAUA
Molecule: long non-coding RNA, 1420 nt
Filed under: Gorilla gorilla (western gorilla)
Lineage: Eukaryota; Metazoa; Chordata; Mammalia; Primates; Hominidae
Description: long non-coding RNA NONGGOT009610
Source: RNAcentral